This 450-nucleotide ribosomal RNA is filed under the name uncultured bacterium. Its description in RNAcentral is "partial 16S ribosomal RNA". It matches the Rfam family "Bacterial small subunit ribosomal RNA", at positions 354 to 796 of the family's 1533-position model. The record is from RNAcentral.
GUGGGGAAUCUUCCGCAAUGGACGAAAGUCUGACGGAGCAACGCCGCGUGAGUGAUGAAGGUCUUCGGAUUGUAAAGCUCUGUUAAUCGGGACGAAAGAGCCUAGUGUGAAUAAUGCUAGGAAGUGACGGUACCGGAAUAGAAAGCCACGGCUAACUACGUGCCAGCAGCCGCGGUAAUACGUAGGUGGCAAGCGUUGUCCGGAAUGAUUGGGCGUAAAGAGCGCGCAGGCGGAUCUGCCAGUCUGUCUUAAAAGUUCGGGGCUUAACCCCGUGAUGGGAUGGAAACUACAGAUCUAGAGUAUCGGAGAGGAAAGUGGAAUUCCUAGUGUAGCGGUGAAAUGCGUAGAUAUUAGGAAGAACACCAGUGGCGAAGGCGACUUUCUGGACGAAAACUGACGCUGAGGCGCGAAAGCCAGGGGAGCGAACGGGAUUAGAAACCCGGGUAGUCC